Molecule: ribosomal RNA, 450 nt
Filed under: Thermothelomyces heterothallicus
Lineage: Eukaryota; Fungi; Ascomycota; Sordariomycetes; Sordariales; Chaetomiaceae
Description: eukaryotic LSU rRNA
Rfam family: 5.8S ribosomal RNA (bases 146-299)
Source: RNAcentral
CAUCGUGAACGCUACCUAAACCGUUGCUUCGGCGGGCGGCGCCCUCGCGCGCCCCCCUGGGCCCGCACCGCGGGCGCCCGCCGGAGGUACACCAAACUCUUGAUAUGUUAUGGCCACUCUGAGUCUUCUAUACUGAAUAAGUCAAAACUUUCAACAACGGAUCUCUUGGUUCUGGCAUCGAUGAAGAACGCAGCGAAAUGCGAUAAGUAAUGUGAAUUGCAGAAUUCAGUGAAUCAUCGAAUCUUUGAACGCACAUUGCGCCCGCCAGUAUCCUGGCGGGCAUGCCUGUUCGAGCGUCAUUUCAACCCAUCAAGCCCACGGCUUGUGUUGGGGACCUGCGGCUGCCCGCAGGCCCUGAAAACCAGUGGCGGGCUCGCUAGUCACACCGAGCGUAGUAGCAUACGACCUCGCUCAGGGCGUGCUGCGGGUUCCAGCCGUAAAACGACCUUC